RNAcentral lists this long non-coding RNA (240 nucleotides) under Vicia faba (fava bean). The record is from RNAcentral. Lineage: Eukaryota; Viridiplantae; Streptophyta; Magnoliopsida; Fabales; Fabaceae.
AUGUCUCUCACGAUUAUUUCCUCUACUCACAAGAAAUUAUGCCCCCAUAACUCUCUAUCGUAUCAGAAUAACAACGACAAAGGAUUUGCUCAGCUUUUUCGCUUAUCCACGAUCACAUCAGUAUCAAGAAUACAUGAAAAAAAAAGGCAAGAAAACUUACAACCUAGAGAUAAUCCGCUGAUUUUCGAUUCUGAUGAAGUUCAAAGGUAUGUCGCCUCUUUCAGUCUCUACUUUCGUUAA